CGGUGAGUUAAGGACAUAUCCCUCUCACUGAUCUCACUUAUCUGGCCAACAUGAUAGAUUAUGCUCUGAUUAGAUCACUAGUCAAUUCAGAUAAACUCAUGCCAUUAAGGUGAAUCAGUGUGACUGAUUUAGGUAUCUUUAGACCAGCUUAUGUUUAAUCCUUUACAUGACUUAGUGAAGUCAGUGGAAGGAUUUGUAGCUCGAGAUCGAUUUCUUCUCUUAUUCUCAGAUCAAUGAAAUCAAAUCUUCUAAAUUAUUAGAUCCAUAAAUUGAUAAAGUUAUAAGAUAACUUAGUCAUUGCCUCUCAUUAAGAUACGUGAUAAUGAGUCCAAUAUUUCAAAUAGGCAUUGGAGGUGCCAUACGCUUGGUGUCUAUUACAUAUUGAAAUUAUCAUUCAUCAUAUGACCAUCAUGAUGUACCUUCAGAUCAAUGCUCAGAUUGGCCGAACCACACUCGGGCCUGAACAUCCAUUUGUUGGAUGCACUUGGUGUGCCAUGUUAACGGUUGGACCUAAUUGGGAUUUUCAGUGGAGGUGCCACACACCUGCUGAAGGAAAGCCUAGGGCAAAACUUAUUACUAGAAGUUGUUUGGAGAAAUAAUUGGUUAUGAACUUACCCAUAGAUGCACUA
RNAcentral lists this long non-coding RNA (629 nucleotides) under Elaeis guineensis (African oil palm). RNAcentral's name for it is "long non-coding RNA (EGUI_LNC079301)". Lineage: Eukaryota; Viridiplantae; Streptophyta; Magnoliopsida; Arecales; Arecaceae. The record is from RNAcentral.